This 460-nucleotide ribosomal RNA is filed under the name uncultured bacterium. Its description in RNAcentral is "partial 16S ribosomal RNA". It matches the Rfam family "Bacterial small subunit ribosomal RNA", at positions 338 to 795 of the family's 1533-position model. The record is from RNAcentral.
CCUACGGGAGGCAGCAGUGAGGAAUAUUGGUCAAUGGGCGCGAGCCUGAACCAGCCAAGUAGCGUGAAGGAUGACUGCCCUACGGGUUGUAAACUUCUUUUAUAAAGGAAUAAAGUGCGGCACGUGUGCCUUUUUGUAUGUACUUUAUGAAUAAGGAUCGGCUAACUCCGUGCCAGCAGCCGCGGUAAUACGGAGGAUCCGGACGUUAUCCGGAUUUAUUGGGUUUAAAGGGUGCGUAGGCGGCCUUUUAAGUCAGCGGUGAAAGUCUGUGGCUCAACCAUAGAAUUGCCGUUGAAACUGGGGGGCUUGAGUAUGUUUGAGGCAGGCGGAAUGCGUGGUGUAGCGGUGAAAUGCUUAGAUAUCACGCAGAACCCCGAUUGCGAAGGCAGCCUGCCAAGCCAUGACUGACGCUGAUGCACGAAAGCGUGGGGAUCAAACAGGAUUAGAUACCCUAGUAGUC